Molecule: ribosomal RNA, 526 nt
Filed under: Melanohalea subelegantula
Lineage: Eukaryota; Fungi; Ascomycota; Lecanoromycetes; Lecanorales; Parmeliaceae
Description: eukaryotic LSU rRNA
Rfam family: Eukaryotic large subunit ribosomal RNA
Source: RNAcentral
AAUUUGAAAUCUGGCCCCUUCGGGGUCCGAGUUGUAAUUUGUAGAGAGUGCUUCGGGUGAGACUGCGGUCUAAGUCCAUUGGAACAUGGCGUCCCAGAGGGUGAGAAUCCCGUAUGUGACCGCGGCUCGAGCCCAUGUGAAGCCUCUUCGACGAGUCGAGUUGUUUGGGAAUGCAGCUCUAAAUGGGUGGUAAAUUUCAUCUAAAGCUAAAUACUGGCUGGAGACCGAUAGCGCACAAGUAGAGUGAUCGAAAGAUGAAAAGCACUUUGGAAAGAGGGUUAAACAGUACGUGAAAUUGUUGAAAGGGAAGCGCUGGCAACCAGACCUGUCCGUAGGCGAUCACCCGUUGUUCUCAGCGGUGCACUCGUUCUGCGAUCAGGCCAGCAUCGGUUCGGGCGGGCGGAUAAAGGUCUUGGGAAUGUAGCUCCCUCUCGGGGGAGUCUUAUAGCCCUCGAUGCAAUGCGCCCAGCCGGGACCGAGGACCGCGCUUCGGCUAGGAUGCUGGCGUAAUGGUUGUCAGCGACCC